Non-coding RNA from Hemiscyllium ocellatum (epaulette shark), 501 nucleotides. The record is from the annotation of a RefSeq genome assembly. Lineage: Eukaryota; Metazoa; Chordata; Chondrichthyes; Orectolobiformes; Hemiscylliidae.
AUGGUGAAAAGCAGUAUGACGGACCUCUUACGGUUGGCCAUCUCCGAGUCUCCGUGGCUUGCUGUGUCCUGGAGCCUCCUUUGGCCACUGCUAGCCGCCAAGAUGGAUCUGACAGUCAAGGCAUUGAACAGCAGAAUAAGGCGCUGUUAUGCAGAUUUUGUCUCACAAAAACCCGCCGCAAUCGCAGUGAGUGAGAGGGAUGAGGUCCUGUUAUUCUGUAAUUACACUGCCUCAACAAACAGUGAUCCUUACCUGUUCUGGUACCGGCAGCAUUCCAGCGGCUCCAUGGAAUAUCUCCUCAAGAGAAACCAAUAUAUCAGCACCACAGACAGACUUCCAGGAGACCGGUUUUCCUCGAAGUUGGAUCAUGUGAACCGCACUAUCCAGCUGAAUUUGUUGAAAGCAGAACUUUCAGACUCUGCAGUGUAUUACUGCGCACUGAGCCCCACAGAGACUCGGAACCGGGCUGACCCCGGGCAAAAACUGUCAGAGAGCAAUUGA